GGCUAGGUAGCUCAGUUGGUUAGAGCACGCGACUCAUAAUCGCGGGGUCGGGAGUUCAAAUCUCCCCCUCGCCACCA
This 77-nucleotide transfer RNA is filed under the name Gemmobacter fulvus. RNAcentral describes it as "tRNA-Met". It matches the Rfam family "tRNA". Rfam says of the family: Transfer RNA (tRNA) molecules are approximately 80 nucleotides in length. Their secondary structure includes four short double-helical elements and three loops (D, anti-codon, and T loops). Further hydrogen bonds mediate the characteristic L-shaped molecular structure. tRNAs have two regions of fundamental functional importance: the anti-codon, which is responsible for specific mRNA codon recognition, and the 3' end, to which the tRNAs corresponding amino acid is attached (by aminoacyl-tRNA synthetases). tRNAs cope with the degeneracy of the genetic code in two manners: having more than one tRNA (with a specific anti-codon) for a particular amino acid; and 'wobble' base-pairing, i.e. permitting non-standard base-pairing at the 3rd anti-codon position. Lineage: Bacteria; Pseudomonadati; Pseudomonadota; Alphaproteobacteria; Rhodobacterales; Paracoccaceae. The record is from RNAcentral.